GGCGGCGUAGCUCAGUCGGUAGAGCAAGGGAAUCAUAAUCCCUGGGUCCGCGGUUCAAAUCCGUGCGCCGCUA
This 73-nucleotide transfer RNA is filed under the name Spirochaetota bacterium. RNAcentral's name for it is "Spirochaetes bacterium (activated sludge metagenome) tRNA-Met". It matches the Rfam family "tRNA". Rfam says of the family: Transfer RNA (tRNA) molecules are approximately 80 nucleotides in length. The record is from RNAcentral. Lineage: Bacteria; Pseudomonadati; Spirochaetota.